This is a non-coding RNA of Drosophila virilis, 706 nucleotides long. The record is from RefSeq and is a predicted model, not a curated record. Lineage: Eukaryota; Metazoa; Arthropoda; Insecta; Diptera; Drosophilidae.
ACAAGUUUGUUUAGCAAAAUCAAUUAUUGUUAAAAUUUAAACGAUUGUUGUGUUUUAGCAAAAGGUCUCGAAAGAAAACACUUCGUCAGCCUAGUGGGUUCGAAGUGAGGUCAAGGCAGUCACACCAGAGGAGGCAUAUACUUAUCAAUCAAUAUUUUGGUUUUCUCAAUAUAUGUAUGUACCUAAAAGCAGUGGUUAAAUUCUCAAAUCAAAGUUGCGACAGCCAGCAUUAAAGCAUGCAAAACACAAAUACCUUAAAUAUGAUAGUUAGGCAAAAAUUGAUUAUAUGCAUGUGUCGGUGUUAGUGUCGGUGUCUACGAGUUGUUGUUACCAAAUCAAAGGUAAAUAGAAAAUUCAAAUAUAUGUAUACAAAAGGAGAUACUAAACUGCAUGCAUUUGGUUCGAUGGUAUUGAAAACAAAAGGCAACUGUUUUAAAAAUGAAUCAACUACCAGCUGCUGUACGAGUAGUAAGUAUGUAAAUGUCGCUGAGAGUGCGGGCGAAGAACGAAUCGAGAGUGGCUAAAUUAAACCGCACGUUGAAACGCGUUAAGCUUACUUAAGUGAUUUAAAGCUAACGGAACUGGGAUGAACGCAUAAAUGAAACUGAGUCUCAAAGUAAACGUUUUUGUUUUUUUUUUGUGUUUUUUUUUUUUAAAUAAAUCGGUGCAGCGGUAUUAAGUCGUUCUAUGCAUGUAUUUACAAAAA